This 426-nucleotide ribosomal RNA is filed under the name uncultured Gammaproteobacteria bacterium. RNAcentral's name for it is "bacterial SSU rRNA". It matches the Rfam family "Bacterial small subunit ribosomal RNA", at positions 356 to 774 of the family's 1533-position model. Lineage: Bacteria; Pseudomonadati; Pseudomonadota; Gammaproteobacteria. The record is from RNAcentral.
GGGGAAUAUUGGACAAUGGGCGAAAGCCUGAUCCAGCGACGCCGCGUGUGUGAAGAAGGCCUGCGGGUUGUAAAGCACUUUCGAUGGGAACGAAAUGUGCCGGGCUAAUACCCCGGCAAGCUGACGUUACUCAAUGAAGAAGCACCGGCUAACUCUGUGCCAGCAGCCGCGGUAAUACAGAGGGUGCGAGCGUUAAUCGGAAUUACUGGGCGUAAAGCGCACGUAGGUGGCGACGUAUGUCGGGUGUGAAAGCCCCGGGCUCAACCUGGGAAUUGCAUCCGAAACUGCGUUGCUGGAGUACGGAAGAGGAGGGCGGAAUUCCCGGUGUAGCGGUGAAAUGCGUAGAUAUCGGGAGGAACAUCAGUGGCGAAGGCGGCCCUCUGGUCCAGUACUGACACUCAAGUGCGAAAGCGUGGGGAGCAAACA